GAUGAACGCUGGCGGCGUGCCUAAUACAUGCAAGUCGAGCGAACGGACGAGAAGCUUGCUUCUCUGAUGUUAGCGGCGGACGGGUGAGUAACACGUGGAUAACCUACCUAUAAGACUGGGAUAACUUCGGGAAACCGGAGCUAAUACCGGAUAAUAUUUUGAACCGCAUGGUUCAAAAGUGAAAGACGGUCUUGCUGUCACUUAUAGAUGGAUCCGCGCUGCAUUAGCUAGUUGGUAAGGUAACGGCUUACCAAGGCAACGAUGCAUAGCCGACCUGAGAGGGUGAUCGGCAACACUGGAACUGAGACACGGUCCAGACUCCUACGGGAGGCAGAAGUAGGGAAUCUUCCGAAAGGGGCGAAAGCCGGACGGAGCAACGCCGCGUGAGUGAUGAAGGUCUUCGGAUCGUAAAACUCUGUUAUUAGGGAAGAACAUAUGUGUAAGUAACUGUGCACAUCUUGACGGUACCUAAUCAGAAAGCCACGGCUAACUACGUG
RNAcentral lists this ribosomal RNA (497 nucleotides) under uncultured bacterium. RNAcentral describes it as "partial 16S ribosomal RNA". It matches the Rfam family "Bacterial small subunit ribosomal RNA", at positions 28 to 507 of the family's 1533-position model. The record is from RNAcentral.